UACGUGAGGUCCAAGCGUUAUCCGGAAUUACUGGGCGUAAAGCGUCCGCAGCCGGAUAGUUAAGUCUAGAGUUAAAUUUUGGGGCCCAACUCCAAAAUCGUUCUGGAAACUGGCUAUCUAGAGUAGUGCAGAGGUAGGCGGAAUUCCUAUUGUAGGGGUAAAAUCCGUAGAUAAUAGGAGGAACACCAAAUGCGAAGGCAGCCUACUGGGCACUUACUGACGGUCAGGGACGAAAGCGUGGGGAGCGAACGGG
This 253-nucleotide ribosomal RNA is filed under the name uncultured bacterium. RNAcentral's name for it is "partial 16S ribosomal RNA". It matches the Rfam family "Bacterial small subunit ribosomal RNA", at positions 524 to 776 of the family's 1533-position model. The record is from RNAcentral.